This 64-nucleotide transfer RNA is filed under the name Palaestes nicaraguae. Its description in RNAcentral is "tRNA-Asn". Lineage: Eukaryota; Metazoa; Arthropoda; Insecta; Coleoptera; Cucujidae. The record is from RNAcentral.
UUAAUUGAAACCAAAUAGAGGUAUAUCACUGUUAAUGAUAAAAAUGAUUGUCAAUCCAAUUAAA